This 74-nucleotide transfer RNA is filed under the name Photobacterium damselae. Its description in RNAcentral is "tRNA-Val(tac)". It matches the Rfam family "tRNA". From Rfam's summary of the family: Transfer RNA (tRNA) molecules are approximately 80 nucleotides in length. The record is from RNAcentral. Lineage: Bacteria; Pseudomonadati; Pseudomonadota; Gammaproteobacteria; Vibrionales; Vibrionaceae.
GGGCGAUUAGCUCAGUUGGGAGAGCACCUCCCUUACAAGGAGGGGGUCACUGGUUCGAGCCCGGUAUCGCCACC